RNAcentral lists this ribosomal RNA (450 nucleotides) under uncultured bacterium. RNAcentral's name for it is "partial 16S ribosomal RNA". It matches the Rfam family "Bacterial small subunit ribosomal RNA", at positions 338 to 795 of the family's 1533-position model. The record is from RNAcentral.
CCUACGGGUGGCUGCAGUGAGGAAUAUUGCGCAAUGGGGGCAACCCUGACGCAGCGACGCCGCGUGAGUGAGGAAGGCCUUCGGGUCGUAAAGCUCUGUCAAAGGGAAAGAAGUGCAUGGAGGUUAAUACCCUUCAUGUUUGACGGUACCCUUAAAGGAAGCACCGGCUAACUCCGUGCCAGCAGCCGCGGUAAUACGGAGGGUGCAAGCGUUGUUCGGGAUCACUGGGCGUAAAGGAUACGUCGGCUGUGAAAGCCCACGGCUUAACCGUGGAAGUGCAUUUGAAACUGUCAGACUUGAGUACCAGAGGGGAAAGUGGAAUUCCCGGUGUAGAGGUGAAAUUCGUAGAUAUCGGGAGGAAUACCGGUGGCGAAGGCGACUUUCUGGCUGGAUACUGACGCUGAGGCGCGAAAGCGUGGGGAGCAAACAGGAUUAGAUACCCCAGUAGUC